This 253-nucleotide ribosomal RNA is filed under the name uncultured bacterium. RNAcentral's name for it is "partial 16S ribosomal RNA". It matches the Rfam family "Bacterial small subunit ribosomal RNA", at positions 524 to 776 of the family's 1533-position model. The record is from RNAcentral.
UACGUAGGGGGCUAGCGUUGUCCGGAAUCAUUGGGCGUAAAGAGCGUGUAGGCGGCCCGGUAAGUCCGCUGUGAAAGUCGGGGGCUCAACCCUCGAAAGCCGGUGGAUACUGUCGGGCUAGAGUGCGGAAGAGGCGAGUGGAAUUCCUGGUGUAGCGGUGGAAUGCGCAGAUAUCAGGAGGAACACCAAUAGCGAAGGCAGCUCGCUGGGACGGUAUUGACGCUAAGGCGCGAAAGCGUGGGGAGCAAACAGG